Molecule: ribosomal RNA, 483 nt
Filed under: uncultured bacterium
Lineage: Bacteria
Description: partial 16S ribosomal RNA
Rfam family: Bacterial small subunit ribosomal RNA
Source: RNAcentral
GACGAACGCUGGCGGCGUGCUUAACACAUGCAAGUCGAACGCUGAAGCUCAGCUUUUGUUGGGUGGAUGAGUGGCGAACGGGUGAGUAACACGUGAGUAACCUGCCUCCUUCUUUGGGAUAACGCCCGGAAACGGGUGCUAAUACUGGAUAUUCACUGGUCUUCGCAUGGGGGUUGGUGGAAAGGGUUUUUCUGGUGGGGGAUGGGCUCGCGGCCUAUCAGCUUGUUGGUGGGGUGAUGGCCUACCAAGGCUUUGACGGGUAGCCGGCCUGAGAGGGUGACCGGUCACAUUGGGACUGAGAUACGGCCCAGGCUCCUACGGGAGGCAGCAGUGGGGAAUAUUGCACAAUGGGCGCAAGCCUGAUGCAGCAACGCCGCGUGAGGGAUGGAGGCCUUCGGGUUGUGAACCUCUUUCGCUCAUGGUCAAGCCGCAACAAUGGUUGUGGUGAGGGUAGUGGGUAAAGAAGCGCCGGCUAACUACGUG